UACGUAGGGUGCAAGCGUUGUCCGGAAUUAUUGGGCGUAAAGAGCUCGUAGGCGGUCUGUCGCGUCGGCUGUGAAAACCCGAGGCUCAACCUCGGGCCUGCAGUCGAUACGGGCAAACUAGAGUACUGCAGGGGAGACUGGAAUUCCUGGUGUAGCGGUGAAAUGCGCGGAUAUCAGGAGGAACACCGGUGGCGAAGGCGGGUCUCUGGGCAGUAACUGACGCUGAGGAGCGAAAGCGUGGGGAGCGAACAGG
RNAcentral lists this ribosomal RNA (253 nucleotides) under uncultured bacterium. Its description in RNAcentral is "partial 16S ribosomal RNA". It matches the Rfam family "Bacterial small subunit ribosomal RNA", at positions 524 to 776 of the family's 1533-position model. The record is from RNAcentral.